This 791-nucleotide ribosomal RNA is filed under the name uncultured bacterium. RNAcentral describes it as "bacterial SSU rRNA". It matches the Rfam family "Bacterial small subunit ribosomal RNA", at positions 8 to 796 of the family's 1533-position model. The record is from RNAcentral.
AGAGUUUGAUCCUGGCUCAGAUUGAACGCUGGCGGAAUGCUUUACACAUGCAAGUCGAACGGCAGCACGGGGGCAACCCUGGUGGCGAGUGGCGAACGGGUGAGUAAUACAUCGGAACGUGCCCAGUCGUGGGGGAUAACGUAGCGAAAGCUACGCUAAUACCGCAUACGAACUCUGGUUGAAAGCGGGGGAUCGCAAGACCUCGCGCGAUUGGAGCGGCCGAUGGCAGAUUAGGUAGUUGGUGGGGUAAAGGCUCACCAAGCCGACGAUCUGUAGCUGGUCUGAGAGGACGACCAGCCACACUGGGACUGAGACACGGCCCAGACUCCUACGGGAGGCAGCAGUGGGGAAUUUUGGACAAUGGGCGCAAGCCUGAUCCAGCCAUUCCGCGUGCAGGAUGAAGGCCCUCGGGUUGUAAACUGCUUUUGUACGGAACGAAAAGGCUUUCUCUAAUACAGGGAGCUGAUGACGGUACCGUAAGAAUAAGCACCGGCUAACUACGUGCCAGCAGCCGCGGUAAUACGUAGGGUGCGAGCGUUAAUCGGAAUUACUGGGCGUAAAGCGUGCGCAGGCGGUUAUGUAAGACAGGUGUGAAAUCCCCGGGCUUAACCUGGGAACUGCAUUUGUGACUGCAUAGCUAGAGUACGGUAGAGGGGGAUGGAAUUCCGCGUAGCAGUGAAAUGCGUAGAUAUGCGGAGGAACACCGAUGGCGAAGGCAAUCCCCUGGACCUGUACUGACGCUCAUGCACGAAAGCGUGGGGAGCAAACAGGAUUAGAUACCCUAGUAGUCC